This 450-nucleotide ribosomal RNA is filed under the name uncultured bacterium. RNAcentral describes it as "partial 16S ribosomal RNA". It matches the Rfam family "Bacterial small subunit ribosomal RNA", at positions 338 to 795 of the family's 1533-position model. The record is from RNAcentral.
CCUACGGGUGGCUGCAGUGGGGAAUUUUGGACAAUGGGGGCAACCCUGAUCCAGCCAUGCCGCGUGAGUGAAGAAGGCCUUCGGGUUGUAAAGCUCUUUCGGCCGGGAAGAAAUCGCUCAAGCUAAUACCUUGGGUGGAUGACGGUACCGGAAGAAGAAGCACCGGCUAACUACGUGCCAGCAGCCGCGGUAAUACGUAGGGUGCGAGCGUGGAUCGAAGUUUCCGGGCGUGAAGCGUGCGCACGCGGGGGAACUCCCCGGGCUUAACCUGGGAACUGCGUUUGUGACUGUGGUGCUCGAGUGCGGCAGAGGGGGGUGGAAUUCCACGUGUAGCAGUGAAAUGCGUAGAGAUGUGGAGGAACACCGAUGGCGAAGGCAGCCCCCUGGGUCGACACUGACGCUCAUGCACGAAAGCGUGGGGAGCAAACAGGAUUAGAUACCCCAGUAGUC